GACGAACGCUGGCGGCGUGCUUAACACAUGCAAGUCGAACGGAAAGGCCCUGCUUUUGUGGGGUGCUCGAGUGGCGAACGGGUGAGUAACACGUGAGUAACCUGCCCUUGACUUUGGGAUAACUUCAGGAAACUGGGGCUAAUACCGGAUAGGAGCUCCUGCUGCAUGGUGGGGGUUGGAAAGUUUCGGCGGUUGGGGAUGGACUCGCGGCUUAUCAGCUUGUUGGUGGGGUAGUGGCUUACCAAGGCUUUGACGGGUAGCCGGCCUGAGAGGGUGACCGGCCACAAUAGGACUGAGAUACGGACCAGACUCCUACGGGAGGCAGCAGUGGGGAGUAUUACACAAUGGGCGGAAGCCAGAUGCAGCGACGCCGCGUGCGGGAUGACGGCCUUCGGGUUGUAAACCGCUUUCGCCUGUGACGAAGCGUGAGUGACGGUAAUGAGUAAAGAAGCACCGGCUAACUACGUG
This 468-nucleotide ribosomal RNA is filed under the name uncultured bacterium. Its description in RNAcentral is "partial 16S ribosomal RNA". It matches the Rfam family "Bacterial small subunit ribosomal RNA", at positions 28 to 507 of the family's 1533-position model. The record is from RNAcentral.